RNAcentral lists this unclassified non-coding RNA (267 nucleotides) under Hevea brasiliensis (rubber tree). Lineage: Eukaryota; Viridiplantae; Streptophyta; Magnoliopsida; Malpighiales; Euphorbiaceae. The record is from RNAcentral.
AAAGCUGUGCGUGCGUUUGUGGUCCAAACAAAAGAGCUGGAAAAUCAAUAAUUCUUGCAGGGGAUGUAACCUUGGCAACAAUGUAAUAGUACCAUUCCUUUCCCUCUCCACACAAUUUUAUAGAGAGAGAAAGAGAGAUUUACUUAGCCCUUAAGGCGAACGUGGGUAUUUGACACGUGGAUAUCUCCAUCACCGUUGAUAGUGCUCCUAUGUGCAUGAGUUGUAAAGAGCACGUACGUGUUUUUAUUCUAUCAGAUUCAGAUACCA